UGAGUCCUUUUUUUUUUUUUCCUGACGGAAUUACAUGCAGAUUGGCAUGUUACAUAACCUGGUAUUUCCAGAUCAAACGUUACAAAUAUGGGAGAGAAGGAGAUUAAAAAUUGGAGAUGUUGGGCAACACCAGCAAGGGAUUCGCUCGGAGAUGCCUACCCACUCUCCUUAAAUGUUAGAGACUGAAGGAAAAAGAGACCUACCAAGCACAAGGUAUAACUCUCUGCCUGGUACCCUCAGAUGCCUGUCUGGUUUUGAGGAAUGGCUACUCUGCCUGGACCCCCAUCAUGCUGCUGUUCUGGUCCUAAUACAUUCACCCACAUUCAUAAAUGUAAAAACGGAAACAUGAGAACCAUGGGAUUCAGAUCAUCUCCUUGCAGAUUUGAUUCCAACAGCCUAGCAGGGUCAAUCAACAUCAAUUCUAGAUCUAAAGGUCCCAUCUUUACCUGCCUUCUUACCUGGUCUGUCAGCCUGGCUUAUUGCUACGUGAAAUCUUCGCUUUGCACUGAAAGACUGCUAUGGGGGCCACUUUGCAAGUAACACAUGCCCCAAUUCCCAGGAAACCAGGCUUACAUGGAUCCCUGAAUUUAUAGUUUUCUAUAAGGAAGGCUUCUAAUGAAACCAUAAAAGUAGAUGCGUAGUCCUCUGUGGGUUAUAUAUUUAUUACUUUGUUACAGGUUUUUUUUUCCCUUUUAUUAUCUUUAUUCCAGUUAUUACCAAAGUAAUAUAUGUUCACUGUAGCAAAGUAAAACAAUAUAGAAGAAAAGCAAAAAGAAAAUGUUUCACCACAUUUGGGGUUACAAUAUUUUGUAUGCUUAUUUUCCUUUAAGGAUAAAUCUUUCUGUGUUAUACACAUUUUCCCCCAGUGCAACAUUUUUAAUGGCUGCAUAGAACCCCAAUGUUUUGAUAUGGUAAAAUUUCAUUGAACAGUACCCAAAUUUUGACUUUGUUUAUUUUUAGUUCUUUAUCAUCAUAACAAAGCUGCAGUCAUUAUUCUUGUCCGCACUCUGCAAUUUUAGUGUCUCCUUAAGAUAAAUCCCUUGAAAGCAGGAUUGUAGAGUCAGAGGCUGAGACUUCGGUCACACGUGAGAAGCUGUAGGGUCCACUGUGAUUUCUGCUUCAUCUUUUUAACCAGGAUGUGGCUGCUAACUUUGCAGUCCCUCUAAAGGCUUGGGCACCUUGGCCGUAGAGGAAGGUGGGGCUGGCAGGCCAACCUCAGGCAGGGGAUUUACAUGACUUGAUGACUUGGAGCUGUUCUGCUAAACUGAUAGGCAAAUUGUUUCUCCAAGAACAUCUUUUUCCCUGGCUGUCUUGGAAUCAUCAUCCUUAGUAAUGCUUCAGCCAGCAAUGGAGUCGAAAUAUGUAAAUCUGUGUCUCUGUACUGUAGUGGGGCUGGCUCCCUGGUGAAUGACAAACAGUUCCCCAGAAGUGUGUGUGUGUGUCUUUGCAUCUUUGCAUUGGGAUUCCCCCUAUGCCCCCCCCCCCACUUCAAGAACUUAGAAAAGCUUACAAAGGAAACCCCCCACACCCCCGCAUGGCAUUUUCCUGGGAAAUUCAGCCCAAAGGACUUCAUGAUCCCUGGGCACGACUAAAAACAUGUAUUAACAUGCCUACAUGAUGUUUCCAAAGCAGUAGUAGCUGGGCACUGCCCUCGUCCCAUCCCCUCAUGGACUGGUUCAACCCAAGGAUGUAUUUGUCAGCCUUCUUCUUUCACGUGUCAGAUUUCUGUGACCCAGAAAAGAUGUGUUCCCUGUGGUUGGAUGACUUGCCAGCUGACAAAGAAUUCAGUGGAGCCAGUGGGGGAAGUCCAUUCCUCCCAUUUCCAAAGUGUCCCCCGGCUCAGCAGGAGACAUCAGGAGUUCCUUUAGAUCCAACGGCGAGGUCACCUCGGGGUUGUUUGAUAGUGUGGUCACCACAAAGGCAACUGGCUUUGCUGGCCCCAGACUCUGAAUCCUGACAAGUGUUUAGAUGCUGCUUUGAUACUGACACCACUGCAGCUCCACUAGGGAAGGUGAGGGAAGAUUUUUGUCCUUUGUUAUACUCUGAACAUCAAAUCGGGGCUUUUCUUUCAUUUGGAAAAUAGAAAGGAAACAGGACAUCUGUGUAGCAGGAUGUCAGGAGCAGGUGUGCCGGGCCCCCCACUCCCUGUCCCCUGAGUCCUGCAUUUGCUUUGAGGAAGGAUGCCCUGUAGCCUGGGCCCACAGGGGGGAAGGGGUAUCAGAGGCAAUUGAUUUUUCAUUAUAAUUGUCAAGAACCUUUCGUUUUUAAGAAUGUUUGUCUCACAAAGAGCCUUUUUCGUUGCUGUGGAAUGGUUGUUGAUUUCUAAAAGUCUGGCCUUCAGACCCCUUGCAAGUCAAACCAAGGGUUGGUUGCUUGGCUGCAGCACUGGCCCAUUCCUGGAAUCACUUUCCCUCUCUGGAGAAUUAGGUUGGGAGAGGAGACUGGAUUUGAUGCUUCAUAAGGUGAUGCUUCUCAAGGUUUAACAUGCACGCAGGUUACACAAGAAUCUUGUGAAAAUGCUGGCUCUGGCUCAGUAGGUCUAGAGUAGGUCUGAAGAUACUUGGGGCCCCAGAAUCUGCGUUUCUGACAAGCUCCCAGGGGAUGCUCUGCUGCUGGUCCCUGUGGGAGGAGCAAGGUUUCAAGCUUCUUCCUACCCUGACACGAUUCCGGGAAGUAAUGAUAAGGCCCACCCGUUGUCGAGAGGAGCUGUCUUCUAUUUGUAGCUUGUCUAGGGAUGUGUCUGUUCUUUGCUUUUGGGUUUUGAGAAUUGGUGUCUUCAUUUCCGCAGGCAGAGUGGGGAGGGCAUUGUCAACCCUCCUAUCCCGUGGUGGUCCUGGAAGUGGAAGAAUAGGGCAAAAGCGAAACAAACGUAUGCUGAGUGCCUUCUGUGUGUCACACAGCUGCUGUGACAGGCUCGGCAAGGCAGGCCAUCUGCACGGGGACAGGCACCAAGGUUCAGCAUUUCAUCAUACACCCCCAUACCCCCAUCAUACACCUCUGGCCCCCAUACCUAAUUUUUUCUUAGAAUGGCACCUUUCUAGAAAGCCAUGUAAUUAAAAACUGAGUGCUUAGCAAAGUGUUUCCCUUUAGAAGUGCUUUUACUGGGCCUACUUUAAGAGUAGAUCAAGACAUUUAGAAAUCUGCAUCAUUAUCAUGCAAGCAAUUAAAGUGCUUAAGAAGCUUCAAAGCAAUUUGUUCAAGUUGGUUAAAUAUCCGCCCUCCCCAGUCUUGUUUGUGUUAUUAAUUUACUCAUCAAACUGUGACAUCAAAACCAUCGAAAAGGUACAUUUCAGUAUCUUCCGAUUGGCGAGACCUUUCAAACCCAAGGAUUUGGCAUCGAUGAGAUCUCCUGUGAAAGGAUCUGGUUCAGGGUGAGUCAGAGGAACCAGCCUUUUACCCAACAAGCCCAGCCCUGCUUUGGCCUUUGGAUGAGAAGUGGUCCUUUGCAUGUUUUAGGAAGGUGUCGUUGGUCUGAGAACCAGUCAGCAUUACAGUUCUUUGCAAACAUUGGUUAGCUGAUUCUCACAUCACCCCCACGUGGCAGGUAAAUAGCAUUAACUCUGCAUCUGAGAGAACAAAUAAAUGGACAUGUACAGAUGAGGGUAGGAGAGGCAAACUCCUGCUUUGCAAGAAGAGUGGUAGAGAUACGUGGAAUUGGAGGAUUCCAUGAGUUUGUCCCUUAAAUAUUUAUUGGGUGAAGCCCUGGCUCCUCUAGAGCUGUGCUGUGCAAUUUGGCGGUCACUAGUCACAAUUUAAGGUCAAUUUAAUUAAAAUUACAUCAAAUGAAUACUUCAUUUCCUCAGUUGCACUAGCCAGAUCUCAAAUGUUCAAGGAAGGUAGUGGCUCCCACAGCGGACAGCACAGACGUAGAUGCAGCCUUUCCAUCAUUGCAAAAAGCUCUCUUGGACAGUGCUGGUCCAGAGCCUGGGCUAAUCAAAGAUGAAUGCAAGGGUCCUUGCCCUCCUGGAAUCUCCUGUGAAAUUUCCUAAAAGGAUACCUGACCUUUGACAGCCAUUGCAUAAUACGAAGCUGUGGCUGAGGACUUUGGGGUGGUGGUCGGGGCCCCAGCCCCUGGAGCUUAAAGUCUUCAGCUGGAAACCCUGUUCAGCCACCUACUAUUUCUAUGACUAGAGGUGGGUUUGGAAGUGAUCUGUGCCUCUUUUCAGAGUCAUGCUACAAGUUUUCACUUCUCUUAUUAGACAAGAUUAUUUCUUGUCUCGUGUUGGAUUCUAAUGUCUAAUCCAAGGUUGGAUUCUGGAGGAAGUGCUAGGAAACCACUGCUCUCCUUUGCUGCUGAUGGAAAUGCAAAGUAACACACCCUUUUAGGCAAGCAAUUUGGAAAUAAGUGUUGGUAGUCCUAGAAACACUUAUUCCCUUUAUUCCAGUAUUCCAGUUCUAGGAAUCUAGCCAAAGAAAAUCAUCAGAGAUGGGGAGAAAAGAUGUUAGAAUAAAAAUGUUCAUUGCAGUGUUUUUAUAAUAG
This 4480-nucleotide long non-coding RNA is filed under the name Sus scrofa (pig). RNAcentral describes it as "lncRNA (ENSSSCG00015042080.1)". Lineage: Eukaryota; Metazoa; Chordata; Mammalia; Artiodactyla; Suidae. The record is from RNAcentral.